RNAcentral lists this long non-coding RNA (325 nucleotides) under Ananas comosus (pineapple). RNAcentral's name for it is "long non-coding RNA (ACOM_LNC040459)". The record is from RNAcentral. Lineage: Eukaryota; Viridiplantae; Streptophyta; Magnoliopsida; Poales; Bromeliaceae.
GAUCAAUCCGACCAUCUUCGUGAUAGGUUUCGAACCGAUCAAAUUUGACAUUAAAUUAUCGCUUCCGUCGUAUGUAUCAACCGUGCGGCCAUCUUCGUGAUAGGCUCAACAUGGGUAUAAAAAAAAAGAACCGUGCGGCCAUCUUCGUGAUAGGCUCGACAUGGGUAUAAAAAUCGUGCGGCCAUCUUCGUGAUAGGCUCGACAUGGUUAAAAUGACCAAUCGAAUCGGGUGUUUCAUUACGUAAACCGUACGGCCAUCUUCGUGAUAGGCUCGAUACGAUUAAACCCCGCGCACUUGAACAAAAUGUGAUAAUAAAAAAAAAAA